Molecule: non-coding RNA, 664 nt
Organism: Amphiprion ocellaris (clown anemonefish)
Lineage: Eukaryota; Metazoa; Chordata; Actinopteri; Pomacentridae
Source: the annotation of a RefSeq genome assembly
GUUUGACUCAUUCAGCUGAAGACUGUUCAUCACCAACAUGCUCCUCACAGUAUGUUCUCUGUCUCUUCUGUUGCAUUCAGGUCUCAGCAUCGUAGUUCUUCAGUCUGCAGAUCUGAUGAGCCUCCUAAGACACCCUCUGCUGCUGGAGUGCAGCCUGGGUGAAGGGUUCGACAUGAGCAGCCACACCCUGUACUGGUACCGACAGAAACACCACGGAGCUCAGAUAGAGUUCCUGACCAAAGAGUAUGACGACAGUUCGGGACGCUUCAAGUCGUCGAUCGAUACAGCCAAAAACAGCUUCACUCUUCAAGUUCCUGAGCUGUCUGCGGAUGACAGCAGCAUCUACUACUGUGCUGCCAGUCACAGUGAUGCAAACAGAGCAGACAGUCAUACCAAUAACAUGACAGAUGGCAGGAAGGAGCUGUGGCUUGUCUGGGUUUGAUCCAGCAGAGGAAAGCAGGUCGAGACACACUGGGAAAAUACUGGGAUUUUAGCUAAUAUUAACCAAAUAUAGCAGUUAUUUUAUGUGUUCCACGAGGGGCUAUUGGUUGUGCAGGAGUGCGAUAAUGUGUAAAAAAGCUGCAGAUUCAGAGAUACCUGCUGCAGAGAGGAUAAAACACAAACUACAGAGAGAAGACAUGCUCUCUUACAGCUCUUCACGUGU